This 828-nucleotide precursor RNA is filed under the name Oryza sativa Japonica Group (Japanese rice). RNAcentral's name for it is "putative precursor microRNA R172b". The stretch from base 173 to 410 matches the Rfam family "mir-172 microRNA precursor family". Lineage: Eukaryota; Viridiplantae; Streptophyta; Magnoliopsida; Poales; Poaceae. The record is from RNAcentral.
AAAAAAAAGUUGUAGCCACUAUAUAUGUGAGAGAGAACUAGUGAACAAAGGGGAUUUCUGUAGCUGCAUGCUAGGUAGCUACAACAUCAGUAAUCUCGAUAUACGUACAGUACUACAAGAUAGUGCCUCGAUCUGCCGGCAGUAGAGAGUGUGAUGCCGCAGCUAGCAGUCGGUGAUUUCUGACGUGGCAUCAUCAAGAUUCACACAUUACAUUGCAUGCAUGCAUAUGUCUAUGCAUCUUUGAGCUUGUUGUUCUGAUCUCAACAACCUAGCUAGCUAAUAUUUCUCUCCUGGCCCUGACCUGCAUGAUGCAUGGUUGCACGCAUGGAGAGAGAAGAGAGAGAUCGAAGCUAAUUAAACGCAUGUGUAUAUAUGUGUGGGAAUCUUGAUGAUGCUGCAUCGGAAAUUAAUGACUAAGCAUCAGCUUAAUUGUACCAACGCCGCCGGCGAGAGUGAUCCUCCCUCCCUCUUUCUGUGACACACUGACUAGCAGGUAAGAACUUAUUUCAAUAAACUUGUUUAUAUCUAGAUUGGCCAUAUAAUUUAGUGUAGGUUAAUUUGUGAAAUUAAUUCACUCACAUUUGAUUUUUUUUUUCAGUUGCAUAUAUGUAUUCCUUUUUGGAGGACUGGUUAUGACUUAGCUAAGCUAGCUAGGGAGGACUUCACAAGUCAUAACAAAUAAGUUGAAUGGUUAAACAUAUUUAAAAAGUAUAUGGUGCUAUAUAUUAAAAACAAAUUAAAUAGAGUAAGUUAUUACUGGUAUAACAUCAUUAUUUAGAAAAGAGAGAGAAAAAACAGUGUGCAAGUUAUACUCCACAGCAAGGAGCU